AAGACUAUACUUUCAGGGAUCAUUUCUAUAGUUUGUUAUUCUCUAUUCCUAUGUUUAGAAGAGAAGGAAAAGUAAAAAGAGAAUUAUGAAAUCUCCAUUCAAAUGGGAGCUUUAAAUUUUGA
RNAcentral lists this small nucleolar RNA (122 nucleotides) under Suricata suricatta (meerkat). RNAcentral describes it as "Small nucleolar RNA U3 (ENSSSUG00005022871.1)". It matches the Rfam family "Small nucleolar RNA U3". Rfam says of the family: Small nucleolar RNAs (snoRNAs) are involved in the processing and modification of rRNA in the nucleolus. There are two main classes of snoRNAs: the box C/D class, and the box H/ACA class. U3 snoRNA is a member of the box C/D class. The record is from Rfam by way of RNAcentral. Lineage: Eukaryota; Metazoa; Chordata; Mammalia; Carnivora; Herpestidae.